AUCGAAAUGAUUAGAUUAUACAAAAAUUGAUUUCUCCUUCGCAUAUAGAGGUAGAUAUACUAUCAGUAAGAAGCUUGUUUUCAAUUGAUAAGAUAUAAAAACGAUUCUAGCUUAUUACAACAAUUACUCAAAGUAAAAUGACACCGUUAUGAUAAGUUACCACGACACCGUUUUUGAAUUCGAAAUCGCUUAAGUCGGCUGCCUUGUUUUGCUGAUUUUUUUCUCCCAUUGUUUUUUCUUCUCGCUUCCUUUGGUUGAUUUGAUUCUUCUAUUUCCCCAAUUAUUAUCCACAUAACAACCCUUUCUCUCACCUUGAUCCUGUCCCCAAGAUCUAUAGCUAGAAAAUUUCGCUUUAACCCAUUUGGCAUCUUCCCAAGAAGCACUGUUAGGUAAAAGAUAGACCAAUGGAUCAACCAUUGUGCUGCCAUGUUAUUUUUUCUUUUCAUCCACCAGGACUGCAAAAUGGAUAAGGGAUAAUUCUCUGCUUGCUGUGGUUGAU
This 499-nucleotide long non-coding RNA is filed under the name Olea europaea subsp. europaea. The record is from RNAcentral. Lineage: Eukaryota; Viridiplantae; Streptophyta; Magnoliopsida; Lamiales; Oleaceae.